UACCACUUUCCCCAGCAGUCACGACACUAUCACGAAGUUUAUAAACCCUAAUCAGAACUCCCAACGCUGUGUCAUUGGCAACCUCGCACAUCUCAUCAAUGGCGUUUCAAGUGGCGAUUCUUACUCGAAACAAAACCCUAAUCAAAACCUUUAGCUCCAUCAAAUGUAUCUCCACCUUCACCUUCCUCUCCCAAGAACCCCAACUCGCCACUGAGCCAACGUACUCCGAUCCCACGACGACGACGACGACGACCACCACCACUACUCCUCUACCUCCAAACCCAGCCACUGGCAGUCCACUCUACAAUGAGAACUGGCGCAGCCCAAUCUCAAACUCAUCUCUUGGUCAGUCUUUAAUCCCAUUGGGCCGCAACCAACUAGCCUCUCUCGUCCAUCCCAUGUCUCAAAAUCUCGAUGUCAAUUCUCUGUUGAAUGUGUUCGCCGACUGGAUGACCUCGCAGCGAUGGCCCGAUAUUAAGGAACUUUUUGAAUUCUGGAUAAGGUCGCUGGACUCGAAUGGCAAGCCUAAUAAGCCGGAUGUGGAUUUGUAUAAUCAUUAUUUGAGGGCAAAUUUGAUGAUGGGAGCUACUGCUGGGGAUUUACUGGACUUGGUUGCUCAGAUGGAGGAGUUUGCCUUGUUGCCUAACACAGCUUCCUUCAAUUUGGUGCUCAAAGCUAUGCAUAAGGCCAAAGAGACUGAGGCUGCUGAGAAGUUGCUUCAAAGGAUGGAGCUUACGGGGAAUGAAUCGCGGCCUGAUGAUGAGUCUUAUGAUUUGGUUAUUGAUAUGCUGUUUUCGGCGUACCAAAUUGAUGCUGCCUUGAAAUAUGUAGAUAAGGGUUUGAAAUAUGGUUAUACUAUAUCAAUAAGAGUGUUUAAUAAUUGUGUAAGUAGCUGUGUUAACAAAGGAAGACUGGAUACUUUGGUGUCAAUUAUUGACAAGUGCAAGGUAAUUGGGACUGAUUAACUAAUUGUUAAAUCAUUCUGGGGUGCAUAUACAAAUAUUUUUAUGUGACUUUUUUUUGUGACUUUGUACAUUUGUGCUGCGCAUAGACAAUGGAUCAGAACAAAGCUCUUUGUCCAACUUGGAACAUGUGCAACUUUAUUGCAGAAGCUGCAAUACGGGAGGAUAAUAACAAAUUAGCAUUUUAUGCCUUAGAAUUUAUGGCCAAAUGGAUUGCCAGGGGUGAGAGUGCAAGGCCUGCUGUUCUACUUUCUGUAGAUGAAGGGCUGAUCAUAUCCACACUUGGAACUGCUGGCAAGACAUAUAGUUCUACUCUCUUGGAUGCAUCAUGGGAAGUUCUCCGUCACUCAUUACGUCAAAAAAAGUCCCCUCAACCAGAAUCUUAUAUUGGGAAAAUAUAUGCCUAUGCAUCACUGGGGAAUCUCCAGAAGGCUUUUAGUACUCUUCGUGAAUUUGAGUCUGCUUAUGGGAGUACGGACAAAGAAGCAGCAGGAGAAUUGUUCUCACCAUUUACUUCUUUAUAUCCUUUGGUUGUGGCAUGCUCAAAGAAGGGUUUUGAGACUCUGGACCUGGUUUAUUUUCAGUUGGAGAAUUUGAGCCGUGCAGAAAGUCCAUACAAGUCAGUUGCUGCUCUUAAUUGUAUAGUUUUAGGUUGUGCAAAUGUAUGGGACCUUGACCGUGCUUAUCAAACUUUUGAGGCGAUUGGCUCUUCCUUUGGAUUGACUCCUGAUAUUCAUUCGUACAAUGCUCUUAUGUAUGCUUUUGGAAGGCUCAAGAAGACAUUUGAGGCUGCAAGGGUGUUUGAGCAUAUGGUAAGCUUAGGGAUCAAACCCAACUCAACAUCAUAUUCCUUGCUUGUUGAUAAUCAUCUCAUCAAUCGAGAUGUGAAAUCUGCUCUCUCUGUAAUUGACGAGAUGGUGUCCGUAGGAUUUGUCCCCUCAAAGGAAACACUAAAGAAGGUCAGAAGGCGUUGUGUCCGUGAGAUGGACUAUGACAAUGAUGAUCGUUUGCACUCCUUGGCUAAACAGUUCAAAAUUCGAAUGGGUACUGAGACUCGUAGGGACAUGCUGUUCAAUCUUGAUUAUGGCACUGAUUAUGCUUGAUAGGUUGCUUAUCAUUCUUCUUGACAAAGUUUGCGCAGUUCGUAUGUGCAGUUUGUAUCGCAUGAACACUUAUUUUUAAACAAGAAUUCAUUCUUGUUUGUAAAUUACUGUGUUGUACUCAAUUUUGGGUUUUGGCAGCAUGACUCUUAGGAUCAUAGCCUCCUAUAGUCAUAAGUUUAUUUCACAUUAAAAUUAUUUUCUACAAAAGCUGCAGGGGUGGUGAGAUGAUCCAAAUAAUGGUUACUAAUAAUUGUAGGACAGUCUUUAUUAUUUAUUUAGGGUGGAAAUUCUGCUUUAGGUGAGACCAGAACUGGGAAAUGGCUUAAAUGUCAGUUUCUUUCUUUACCCCUCGUUUGGAAUUUGCCUGCUUUCUGUAAAUGCUGAUACUAAUUUUGGGCAGUAAGGAUUUUGUUUUGCAACUCAUUUUUGUGGAGCUUAUAUUUUAUUAUUAUUUUUUUCUAAUGUGAAUUGUUACUUUUCUUUUCAUGCGAGGGAGGUUGCCUUAUUGCAGUUUUGCAGGUUUUGCAGGAGAAUUAGAACUUGGUUUAACAAGGGAAAUGAUGAGAUGCCACGCCUAGAGCCAAUUUGUCUAUGGGAUAGAGCUUUGGGAAUAGGUUGGGUUGUAUCCAUUUCCAUAGAAACCAGCAAUGCAAAGAACUGAAUCUUCUUAGAAUUACUUUUAAGAAAAACAUAUUAGUUAAAGGCUUGUUAAAAAUUAAUUUAAUGGAAUGUGAUAUUAAGGCGUGUAAACUUCAAUAACAUUAAAUUUCUAUGCGACUUUCAAUAAUAGUUU
This 2858-nucleotide unclassified non-coding RNA is filed under the name Hevea brasiliensis (rubber tree). The record is from RNAcentral. Lineage: Eukaryota; Viridiplantae; Streptophyta; Magnoliopsida; Malpighiales; Euphorbiaceae.